GAAGAGCCAGACUCUGCUGGGCCUGUAA
Molecule: small RNA, 28 nt
Filed under: Bombyx mori (domestic silkworm)
Lineage: Eukaryota; Metazoa; Arthropoda; Insecta; Lepidoptera; Bombycidae
Description: ovarian small RNA-15218
Source: RNAcentral